RNAcentral lists this transfer RNA (74 nucleotides) under Limnobaculum parvum. RNAcentral's name for it is "tRNA-Gly". It matches the Rfam family "tRNA". Rfam says of the family: Transfer RNA (tRNA) molecules are approximately 80 nucleotides in length. Lineage: Bacteria; Pseudomonadati; Pseudomonadota; Gammaproteobacteria; Enterobacterales; Budviciaceae. RNAcentral also lists the same sequence under 3 other names. The record is from RNAcentral.
GCGGGUGUAGUUCAAUGGUAGAACGAGAGCUUCCCAAGCUCUAUACGAGAGUUCGAUUCUCUUCACCCGCUCCA